RNAcentral lists this ribosomal RNA (253 nucleotides) under uncultured bacterium. Its description in RNAcentral is "partial 16S ribosomal RNA". It matches the Rfam family "Bacterial small subunit ribosomal RNA", at positions 524 to 776 of the family's 1533-position model. The record is from RNAcentral.
UACGAAGGGAGCUAGCGUUGCUCGGAAUCACUGGGCGUAAAGGGUGCGUAGGCGGGUCUUUAAGUCAGGGGUGAAAUCCUGGAGCUCAACUCCAGAACUGCCUUUGAUACUGGGGAUCUCGAGUCCGGAAGAGGUGAGUGGAACUCCGAGUGUAGAGGUGAAAUUCGUAGAUAUUCGGAAGAACACCAGUGGCGAAGGCGGCUCACUGGUCCGGUACUGACGCUGAGGUGCGAAAGCGUGGGGAGCAAACAGG